RNAcentral lists this ribosomal RNA (236 nucleotides) under uncultured Glomus. RNAcentral describes it as "partial 18S ribosomal RNA". The stretch from base 37 to 236 matches the Rfam family "Eukaryotic small subunit ribosomal RNA", at positions 684 to 886 of the family's 1831-position model. Lineage: Eukaryota; Fungi; Glomeromycota; Glomeromycetes; Glomerales; Glomeraceae. The record is from RNAcentral.
AGAUCAAAUUGUUGGUCGUGCCUCGGUACGUACUGGCAUUAUUGAUUUCUCCCUUCUGAAGAACCACGAUGUCAUUAAUUUGGUGUCGUGGGGAAUCAGGACUGUUGCUUUGAAAAAUUAGAGUGUUUAAAGCAGGCUCACGCUUGAAUACAUUAGCAUGGAAUAAUGAAAUAGGACGUUUGAUUCUAUUUUGUUGGUUUCUAGGAUCGACGUAAUGAUUAAUAGGGAUAGUUGGG